Molecule: ribosomal RNA, 520 nt
Filed under: uncultured Thermoproteales archaeon
Lineage: Archaea; Thermoproteati; Thermoproteota; Thermoprotei; Thermoproteales
Description: bacterial SSU rRNA
Rfam family: Archaeal small subunit ribosomal RNA
Source: RNAcentral
GCGCGAAAGUGUGACGGGGCUACCCCGAGUGCUCUCCGCUGAGGAAAGCUUUUCCCUGGUGUAAAAAGCAGGGGGAAUAAGGAGAGGGCAAGACUGGUGUCAGCCGCCGCGGUAAUACCAGCUCUCCGAGUGGUGAGGAUGAUUAUUGGGCCUAAAACGUCCGUAGCCGGCUUAGCAAGUUCUCUGUUAAAUUCAACGACCUAUUCGUUGAGCUGCGGGAAAUACUGUCAGGCUAGGAGGCGGGAGAGGUCGACGGUACUUCCGGGGUAGGGGUGAAAUCCUAUAAUCCCGGGAGGACCACCAGUGGCGAAGGCUGUUGACUAGAACGCGCUCGACGGUGAGGGACGAAAGCUGGGGGAGCGAACCGGAUUAGAUACCCGGGUAGUCCCAGCUGUAAACGAUGCGAGCUAGGUGUUGGAAUGGCUACGUGUCACUCUAGUGCCGCAGGGAAGCCAUUAAGCCUCGCCGCCUGGGAAGUACGCGCGAAAGUGCGCGAAAGUGCGCGAAAGUGCGCGAAAGU